Phasianus colchicus (ring-necked pheasant) is the source of this 364-nucleotide non-coding RNA. NCBI's taxonomy places the organism in Eukaryota, Metazoa, Chordata, Aves, Galliformes, Phasianidae. The record is from RefSeq and is a predicted model, not a curated record.
UUUUAAAAUGAAUAAUGAAGACGAGUUUUUAGCCAUCCAACAUAUGCUUGAGGGAGCAGUGCAAAGGUUACAACAGCAUUGUUUUGAAGAUAUGUAGUUUACAGAAAAAGACAUCAACUUUUCUUCACCCAGCAGAUACCAGUCCCCAGCAAACUUCAUUGUACUCAUUCUCAUGACUGGGAGAGUAGCAGGUUUAUCCUGCUGGUAACUGAAAAACAGGUGGGUUUCUGAAGAUUUGAAAGUCUUUAAUAAUGGGUAGUUUGCAGCACCACAGUGAUUUCAGACUACCUUGGCAUACAUGUCCUCCUGCAGGAAAACUCCUGAUGAAGAAGAUUGAUUUGUUUGUUGGGACACUUGUCCAGAU